RNAcentral lists this transfer RNA (68 nucleotides) under Normichthys operosus (multipore searsid). RNAcentral describes it as "tRNA-Ala". It matches the Rfam family "tRNA". Rfam says of the family: Transfer RNA (tRNA) molecules are approximately 80 nucleotides in length. Their secondary structure includes four short double-helical elements and three loops (D, anti-codon, and T loops). The record is from RNAcentral. Lineage: Eukaryota; Metazoa; Chordata; Actinopteri; Alepocephaliformes; Platytroctidae.
AAGACUUUAGCUUAAUUAAGUGUUUGAGUUGCAAUCAAAAGAUGUGGGAUAGAAUCCCGCAGGUCUUA